GGUGCUGUAGUGUAGUCCGGCCAAUCAUCUGGGCCUUUCGAGCCUAUGACCCGGGUUCGAAUCCCGGCAGCACCA
RNAcentral lists this transfer RNA (75 nucleotides) under Methanobacteriota archaeon. Its description in RNAcentral is "Euryarchaeota archaeon (soil metagenome) tRNA-Glu". It matches the Rfam family "tRNA". From Rfam's summary of the family: Transfer RNA (tRNA) molecules are approximately 80 nucleotides in length. Lineage: Archaea; Methanobacteriati; Methanobacteriota. The record is from RNAcentral.